This 501-nucleotide ribosomal RNA is filed under the name uncultured bacterium. RNAcentral's name for it is "partial 16S ribosomal RNA". It matches the Rfam family "Bacterial small subunit ribosomal RNA", at positions 30 to 523 of the family's 1533-position model. The record is from RNAcentral.
AUUGAACGCUGGCGGCAGGCUUAACACAUGCAAGUCGAGCGGGGGAAGGUAGCUUGCUACCGGACCUAGCGGCGGACGGGUGAGUAAUGCUUAGGAAUCUGCCUAUUAGUGGGGGACAACAUCUCGAAAGGGAUGCUAAUACCGCAUACGUCCUACGGGAGAAAGCAGGGGAUCUUCGGACCUUGCGCUAAUAGAUGAGCCUAAGUCGGAUUAGCUAGUUGGUGGGGUAAAGGCCUACCAAGGCGACGAUCUGUAGCGGGUCUGAGAGGAUGGUCCGCCACACUGGGACUGGGACACGGCCCAGACUCCUACGGGAGGCAGCAGUGGGGAAUAUUGGACAAUGGGGGGAACCCUGAUCCAGCCAUGCCGCGUGUGUGAAGAAGGCCUUAUGGUUGUAAAGCACUUUAAGCGAGGAGGAGGCUACUUUAGUUAAUACCUAGAGAUAGUGGACGUUACUCGCAGAAUAAGCACCGGCUAACUCUGUGCCAGCCGCCGCUGUAA